RNAcentral lists this long non-coding RNA (394 nucleotides) under Erythranthe guttata (spotted monkey flower). RNAcentral's name for it is "long non-coding RNA (EGUT_LNC000195)". The record is from RNAcentral. Lineage: Eukaryota; Viridiplantae; Streptophyta; Magnoliopsida; Lamiales; Phrymaceae.
AUCACGACAUCGAACUCCGUCUUCUCCUCGACGACGGCGGCCGCUUCAGCGGCGACUGGAGCGGCGACGGCGGCGGGGGCGAAGGAGGCGGCGGUGACGCCGAGCUUGUCCUGGAGGUACUCGACGAGCUUCUGAGCGUCGGCGAGGGUUAGGUUGGAGAUCUGGUCGCCGAGCUCGACGACCUUCUCAGGGGCAUCGACGGCGGAGAUUGGGCGGACGGCGGAGGUGCGGCGGCGGAGGAGUGCGGGGGUGGAUUUGAGGGGGAAUUCGAUGGAUUGUUUGGGGAAUGUGGAGGAAGGGAGGGCGGAAUACGCUGUGGUGGGGGUUGCGUAGGAAGGAGAGCGGAGUGUGACGGUGGAUAGCGCAGAAGCCAUGGCCGAAUUUGGGAGAUAGG